Long non-coding RNA from Gallus gallus (chicken), 1844 nucleotides. Lineage: Eukaryota; Metazoa; Chordata; Aves; Galliformes; Phasianidae. The record is from Ensembl.
CUAAUGUUUUAGUUGCUGCAGAAUUAAGGACAUUUCAACUUUUCAUACUGCUCUGCUAGUGAGGGGAGCUAAGGAGGCACAGGGAUCUGAAAGGAGAGAGAACCAUGACAACUGACCUAAACUGGCCAAAGGAACAUUCCAUACCAUAUGAAACCAUGGGAAAUAAAACUUUAAAACUGUGAGGGUUUAGUCAGGCAGAAACCUCAACUUGAGGACUCGCUGGGCACUGGUUGAUGACUGGGAACUUCAAGGUACCCAGGUAAAUAAUGCAAUCUGAACUUUCCUGUGAAGGAUGCUGCAGACCACACUGCUCAUUUUUCCAGCCAUGCUGUCUUCAUCUGAAAUGUCACUCACCAAAUACUGGAAACAAUAGAGAUGACAACUCCAGAGACAUCUCCUGUACAUAUUUGCCUGUUAUGUGCCUAUCUGCUCUACAACCGGCAUUCUGUUUUGCAUCAUCUCCAAGUUACUUCUCCCCUUCACAAAAAUACAAUAUAAAAUGAAAGAAUUAUUUAUGUUGAAAUAUAUCCUUUAGAUCAUCACGUCAGAUCACUGCCUAACAGUACCAAUUCUAUCACUAAACCAUAUCCCUAAACAACAUACCUAUAUUUCUCUUAAAUAGCUCCAGGAAUGAUGACUCCACCACUUUCCCAGACAGUCUAUUCCAGUGCCUAUCCACCCUUUAUAUGAAUAAAUUCUUCCUGAUACAUAAUCUAAACCUCCUAUUGGACAACUUGAGGCCAAUAACAUGUACCAUAAGAAAUUCUUUUCCUACUUUCCAGAAAAAAGAAUGUAUUCAAAAAGACCAGAAGUUGAAUAUUGAAUAUCAUUUGCACUUAUAUGGAAAUGAACAUGUCUCUGAAGAAUGCAAUAUACUCAUUCUUGAAUGUAAUCGUAAUAUAUGACACAUAUGAAACAUAAAUAUUUCUUUAGAGUUUUGUCGUGAAACUUUCCUGGAUUUACAAUUACAAAAUUUCUAAAAAAUAAUGACAAAUCAUAGAAAGUAAUAGACACCUAUAAACAGAAAUCAUUCUAGAACUCUUCUGUUAACUUACAGACUUUCAUAUAUGUACCUCUUGUAAUAAUACCUAAAUAUUUUUUAAGUAUCUUAAUCACUGUUUACAGUUUUCACUUUACUGGUUUGAUGUCUGUCAAAAGAAGACAACUGCACUUGGCCAGAAAUUAGUAACAAAACUGCAUGGGUUUUGAGACAAUUGUAAGUAUCCCACUGACCCAGGAUAAAAAGGUGAAGAUAUAUAUUUCCUCCUUUCAGAUGACUGAUGUUUCCAAAUAUAUUCUCUGAUCAGAAUUUAUUCAUAAGCUAAUAUCCUUUAAUUUCUUUCUAAUUACACCCACAAAAAAUGACAUAGGGGUUCUAAGUGGAUACUAGAGGGCUCUGAGACUGUAAUGCAAGCUAAAAUUAUGGAGAAAACAUAAAUCAAUAUCCUCUAUAGCAUGGAUGCAUUCCAACCACAGAGCUCCUGAGUCUGUAUCUACUAUUCAGCUGAAAUUUCUUGUCAAAGACUUUCCUCUUUGCCUAUGUUCACAGAACAAAAUAUAUUUAGUUUGCUCUAUUUUAGUAAUAGGUGAAUUUCAUCUUUUAGCAAUAUCUAUUGAAAUGAUGUUUGAUUUGAUACUGGAGCAAUUGUGUGCACAGGAAUGGGAAAAGAAUUGCAAUUCAAUGACCAUCAUCAUUGGAGUAAUAGUCUCCAAUUUCCAUAAAAUUUGGUCCAAUACACAAUGGACUAUUAUGAUAACAAUUUUUAUACUAACCAAAAAAUCACAAAGCUAUAUCUCUUCAUAAUGCUUUCACUCUUGGAUUGCUAUAGUAUACUCAGUUCUUC